AUUAGACCCGAACCCGAGUGAUCUAGCCAUGAGCAGGUUGAAGGUGAGGUAACACUCACUGGAGGACCGAACGGGUGCCUGUUGAAAAAGGCUCCGAUGACUUGUGGUUAGGGGUGAAAGGCCAAUCAAACUCGGAAAUAGCUGGUUCUCCGCGAAAUCUAUUUAGGUAGAGCGUCGACCGAAUACCCUCGGGGGUAGAGCACUGGAUGGGUGAUGGGGGCCCACAGCCUUACUGAGCCUAACCAAACUCCGAAUACCGAGGAGUACUAGUCGGCAGACACACGGCGGGUGCUAACGUCCGUCGUGAAGAGGGCAACAACCCUGACCUCCAGCUAAGGUCCCCAAGUCAUGGCUAAGUGGGAAAGGAUGUGAGGAUCCCAAAACAACCAGGAUGUUGGCUUAGAAGCAGCCAUCAUUUA
Molecule: ribosomal RNA, 419 nt
Filed under: Chloropicon mariensis
Lineage: Eukaryota; Viridiplantae; Chlorophyta; Chloropicophyceae; Chloropicales; Chloropicaceae
Description: partial Bacterial large subunit ribosomal RNA
Rfam family: Bacterial large subunit ribosomal RNA
Source: RNAcentral